Molecule: unclassified non-coding RNA, 327 nt
Filed under: soil metagenome
Description: partial contains 5.8S ribosomal RNA, internal transcribed spacer 2, and large subunit ribosomal RNA
Rfam family: 5.8S ribosomal RNA (bases 1-118)
Source: RNAcentral
UGAAGAACGUAGCAAAAUGCGAUAAGUAAUGUGAAUUGCAGAAUUCAGUGAAUCAUCGAAUCUUUGAACGCACAUUGCGCCCCCUGGUAUUCCGGGGGGCAUGCCUGUCCGAGCGUCAUUACAACCCUCAAGCUCAGCUUGGUGUUGGGCCCCGCCGCCCCGGCGGGCCCUAAAGUCAGUGGCGGUGCCGUCCGGCUCCGAGCGUAGUAAUUCUUCUCGCUCUGGAGGUCCGGUCGUGUGCUCGCCAGCAACCCCCAAUUUUUUUCAGGUUGACCUCGGAUCAGGUAGGGAUACCCGCUGAACUUAAGCAUAUCAAUAAGCGGAGGA